This 497-nucleotide ribosomal RNA is filed under the name Fusarium oxysporum f. sp. lycopersici. Its description in RNAcentral is "eukaryotic LSU rRNA". The stretch from base 129 to 282 matches the Rfam family "5.8S ribosomal RNA". Lineage: Eukaryota; Fungi; Ascomycota; Sordariomycetes; Hypocreales; Nectriaceae. The record is from RNAcentral.
CCUGUGACAUACCUAUAACGUUGCCUCGGCGGGAACAGACGGCCCCGUAACACGGGCCGCCCCCGCCAGAGGACCCCCUAACUCUGUUUCUAUAAUGUUUCUUCUGAGUAAACAAGCAAAUAAAUUAAAACUUUCAACAACGGAUCUCUUGGCUCUGGCAUCGAUGAAGAACGCAGCGAAAUGCGAUAAGUAAUGUGAAUUGCAGAAUUCAGUGAAUCAUCGAAUCUUUGAACGCACAUUGCGCCCGCCAGUAUUCUGGCGGGCAUGCCUGUUCGAGCGUCAUUACAACCCUCAGGCCCCCGGGCCUGGCGUUGGGGAUCGGCGGAAGCCCCCUGCGGGCACAACGCCGUCCCCCAAAUACAGUGGCGGUCCCGCCGCAGCUUCCAUUGCGUAGUAGCUAACACCUCGCAACUGGAGAGCGGCGCGGCCACGCCGUAAAACACCCAACUUCUGAAUGUUGACCUCGAAUCAGGUAGGAAUACCCGCUGAACUUAAGC